UUGAAGAGUUUGAUCAUGGCUCAGAUUGAACGCUGGCGGCAGGCCUAACACAUGCAAGUCGAACGGUAGCACAGAGAGCUUGCUCUCGGGUGACGAGUGGCGGACGGGUGAGUAAUGUCUGGGAAACUGCCUGAUGGAGGGGGAUAACUACUGGAAACGGUAGCUAAUACCGCAUAACGUCGCAAGACCAAAGAGGGGGACCUUCGGGCCUCUUGCCAUCAGAUGUGCCCAGAUGGGAUUAGCUAGUAGGUGGGGUAAUGGCUCACCUAGGCGACGAUCCCUAGCUGGUCUGAGAGGAUGACCAGCCACACUGGAACUGAGACACGGUCCAGACUCCUACGGGAGGCAGCAGUGGGGAAUAUUGCACAAUGGGCGCAAGCCUGAUGCAGCCAUGCCGCGUGUAUGAAGAAGGCCUUCGGGUUGUAAAGUACUUUCAGCGGGGAGGAAGGUGUUGUGGUUAAUAACCACAGCAAUUGACGUUACCCGCAGAAGAAGCACCGGCUAACUCCGUGCCAGCAGCCGCGGUAAUACGGAGGGUGCAAGCGUUAAUCGGAAUUACUGGGCGUAAAGCGCACGCAGGCGGUCUGUCAAGUCGGAUGUGAAAUCCCCGGGCUCAACCUGGGAACUGCAUUCGAAACUGGCAGGCUAGAGUCUUGUAGAGGGGGGUAGAAUUCCAGGUGUAGCGGUGAAAUGCGUAGAGAUCUGGAGGAAUACCGGUGGCGAAGGCGGCCCCCUGGACAAAGACUGACGCUCAGGUGCGAAAGCGUGGGGAGCAAACAGGAUUAGAUACCCUGGUAGUCCACGCCGUAAACGAUGUCGACUUGGAGGUUGUGCCCUUGAGGCGUGGCUUCCGGAGCUAACGCGUUAAGUCGACCGCCUGGGGAGUACGGCCGCAAGGUUAAAACUCAAAUGAAUUGACGGGGGCCCGCACAAGCGGUGGAGCAUGUGGUUUAAUUCGAUGCAACGCGAAGAACCUUACCUACUCUUGACAUCCAGAGAACUUUCCAGAGAUGGAUUGGUGCCUUCGGGAACUCUGAGACAGGUGCUGCAUGGCUGUCGUCAGCUCGUGUUGUGAAAUGUUGGGUUAAGUCCCGCAACGAGCGCAACCCUUAUCCUUUGUUGCCAGCGGUCCGGCCGGGAACUCAAAGGAGACUGCCAGUGAUAAACUGGAGGAAGGUGGGGAUGACGUCAAGUCAUCAUGGCCCUUACGAGUAGGGCUACACACGUGCUACAAUGGCGCAUACAAAGAGAAGCGACCUCGCGAGAGCAAGCGGACCUCAUAAAGUGCGUCGUAGUCCGGAUUGGAGUCUGCAACUCGACUCCAUGAAGUCGGAAUCGCUAGUAAUCGUAGAUCAGAAUGCUACGGUGAAUACGUUCCCGGGCCUUGUACACACCGCCCGUCACACCAUGGGAGUGGGUUGCAAAAGAAGUAGGUAGCUUAACCUUCGGGAGGGCGCUUACCACUUUGUGAUUCAUGACUGGGGUGAAGUCGUAACAAGGUAACCGUAGGGGAACCUGCGGUUGGAUCACCUCCUU
RNAcentral lists this ribosomal RNA (1536 nucleotides) under Enterobacter kobei. Its description in RNAcentral is "bacterial SSU rRNA". It matches the Rfam family "Bacterial small subunit ribosomal RNA". The record is from RNAcentral. Lineage: Bacteria; Pseudomonadati; Pseudomonadota; Gammaproteobacteria; Enterobacterales; Enterobacteriaceae.